Molecule: ribosomal RNA, 253 nt
Filed under: uncultured bacterium
Lineage: Bacteria
Description: partial 16S ribosomal RNA
Rfam family: Bacterial small subunit ribosomal RNA
Source: RNAcentral
UACGUAGGGUGCGAGCGUUAAUCGGAAUUACUGGGCGUAAAGCGUGCGCAGGCGGUUUUGUAAGCCAGAUGUGAAAUCCCCGAGCUCAACUUGGGAACUGCAUCCGAGACUGCAUUGCUAGAGUAUGGGAGAGGGAAGCGGAAUUUCUGGUGUAGCAGUGAAAUGCGUAGAUAUCAGAAGGAACAUCAGUGGCGAAGGCGGCUUCCUGGACCAAUACUGACGAUCAGGUGCGAAAGCGUGGGGAGCAAACAGG